RNAcentral lists this long non-coding RNA (1364 nucleotides) under Coccomyxa subellipsoidea. Its description in RNAcentral is "long non-coding RNA (CSUB_LNC000332)". Lineage: Eukaryota; Viridiplantae; Chlorophyta; Trebouxiophyceae; Coccomyxaceae. The record is from RNAcentral.
GCGCCGAUGGGGAUCUCCAAAUAGAUCCGCUCAGCGCUGCGGUCGGCGUGCAUGACGUAGCCGCGCCGCAUGAAGUCGUACUGGAGGACUGAGAAGUAGCGCUUGAGGAAGGCCGCCAGCUCAGCACCGGUGCAGUGCGCGCCGUACUCGCCCGCCCGGUCCAGCGGGUUUGGAUCCUGCGCGCCAGCAACCUCUGUUUACAGUCAUGCCAGUCAAUUUGCAGGUACAUGCAGGGCCUUCAUACUGCUUCUUUCCUGUGUGAACGCCUAGUCACAUCAAGUCCAGGGAUGUGUGGACAAUACUAAACUUCUUAUGGGCCAGGGAUCGAGAGGAUCAAGGUCCCGCCAUACUUUGCUGACCGCGUUUUGGGAAUUCUGUCACAGUCUGGCUCGCAGAUUUUUCCUUUCCAGGUCCAAAAGGAGCAUAUAUCACCGGAAGUGCGUCCUGAGCAAGCAAGAAAGUCUAUUGUGACAAAGCCAGCCUGGCAGCUGCUGACCUGAGAGGAGGACGAGGAUGAGGAGUAGUGAGUGCGCAGGGAGAGGGAGCAGCGUCCCAGCUGCACGAUGCCACCGGCCCUCUCCGCGGAGGAGCGCCUGGCAUCCGGCGCUGGGGAGCGCCCCGGCUUGGCAUCCUGAUUGAAGGGGGACGUCGGCUGCGCCAGGGUUGGGCCGUACAUCAGUGCAAACAGUGCCGACUCUGCGCGCUCAAUGUUGCCCGCGCCCGCCUCUGCAGCACUAUGACCCCGUUACGUAAACGCUCCCAGAUUUGCAAGACAUUGGCUCACUUGGCGGCUGCCCAGCGAACAAGGGGUUGGCCUCCAAAACAGCAAAAUUCCCUCCAACACUUUAAACAGAUGAAACUUUCAUGGGAGUGAAGAUGCUAACUAUGAGAGGCAUCAUGCUGGCAGCAAUGAAGUGAGGGGGCAGAGUUUGAGGGGAAUGUAGGGAACUGACCCUUGCGGGCAUUCUCAAGGAUCCGGAUAUAUGCUUCGGAAGCAUGAGGGAUGCCGGCUGCUGGCUGGGCGGCUUCUGUAACAAGGCCAUGGCCCGAAUUGAGGAGGUCCUCCAGGCCAGAGAUCUGAACGCACCCCAGACACAGGCAAUGGUCAUGUCUCCCUCUUAGCAUGGAAGAUAGCAUGGGGCACCUUCCAGACAGGUCAUGUGACAGGUAGUGCUGCAGCAAUUGUACCAUUUAAAAUCAGUGGUGAAUUGAGCAUCAUCCACAGUACGGUAUCUAAGCGAUCGUUCAAGAUCGACGCACCUCAAAGUGUUCAGCCUCCCUAGCCAGCUCCCUCCGCUCUCUCGGAUCAGCUGGCAGGUCGCACUCAUCAUCCCGCAGGUAGUUUAAUAUAGUUCCAAAAUGCU